UACGGAGGGUGCAAGCGUUAUCCGGAUUCACUGGGUUUAAAGGGUGUGUAGGCGGAUAUUUAAGUCAGUGGUGAAAUCUCCGGGCUCAACCCGGAAACUGCCAUUGAUACUAUUUAUCUUGAAUACUGUUGAGGUAGGCGGAAUAUAUCAUGUAGCGGUGAAAUGCUUAGAUAUGAUAUAGAACACCGAUUGCGAAGGCAGCUUACUAAGCAGUUAUUGACGCUGAGGCACGAAAGCGUGGGGAUCAAAC
Molecule: ribosomal RNA, 250 nt
Filed under: uncultured bacterium
Lineage: Bacteria
Description: partial 16S ribosomal RNA
Rfam family: Bacterial small subunit ribosomal RNA
Source: RNAcentral